Molecule: long non-coding RNA, 1121 nt
Organism: Amphiprion ocellaris (clown anemonefish)
Lineage: Eukaryota; Metazoa; Chordata; Actinopteri; Pomacentridae
Exons: 4
Source: RefSeq, a predicted model, not a curated record
CUGCUGGGAGGUGAAGGAAGGGACGAGUGUGACGGGAGAUGUUAGAGGACAGGGUCAAUUGGAGAAAAAGGUGCAAAAUAACCAAGGCGUUGCUGUCAAAAAAUAUAUUUCACUGGAGACCGUAGCAGUAAAUAUGUGACCACAUGAGCAAUUAGUGCACAUACAUCACAACAAAGCUUAAGUGCUGUGCUACAGUAAUGCGCCAUGUCAUCUUUUCUAAUCUGGGGUUGACUAAUCCUCCAGUGUUCCUGAUCCAAGCAGGUGAACAGAAGCAGAGGCAAACACAAGGUAACAGGAAAACGUCCCCUCGCCUCUGCUGAUUGUUUGCAGUAUGGACCGUUUGUGUUGACCCUGCAGGGUGGUGGUGAACCCUUGGGGACCAUGUGCACCACCAUCAUGUUUCUCUCCACUCUGGCCUUUGUACUGCGGCAGCGUUUCACCAGCCGAGCCAAGACUUUUCCAAAAGACGUGGAGGAGAAGGAAACGUCCUCAGUGCAAAGUCCAGACCCGGCCAAGUGAGACUCACUGUUCUAACAGGAAUCAGAGGUGGGUUUUAGAUGUGGAGGCUGUUCUCAGGUCCAUGGAGAGACGGCUGAAUGCUUCGCUGGAGAAAUAUCCUGACUGUAAAAGUGGAAACCGCUCCGAGUGUCCUCCAUCUUCUUUAAGCCUCGGCAGAUCUCGCUCCAGUCAAUCAAGCUGAUCCGUGGCGUCGGCUUUAGAUCAACUUUCUGACAGCGAAACUCAACACACAUCACCUACUUUUGCCCCUGACAGACACUCUAAAAUAGACAGGCUUCAAGCUUGUUGAUGGUUAUAAGUGUUUUCUCUUCUACAGCACCAAAGAGGGGCUGUCAGGAAAGAUAGGAAGCCUAUAGAACUGUAGGCUUUGCAACAGAUAUGAUAGGCAGCUUUGAUUGAAUCCUGACUGCUACAAACCCUCCUGCAACGAUCUCUUCACUUCAGUUUGUAUGACAUUCAGGGGGGGAAGUAAUUUCACACUCGAGUGUAUCAUGACUCAACUGUCCCACAAGCAAUGAAAACUUCCCUUGAAAUGGCUUCCGAAACUUUUUGUCAUUACCAUGCUGCCGGAGCAGAAAUAAACAAGUGUUUUCUGUGAUGUA